CGCCUACGGGACGCAGCAGUAGGGAAUCUUCCACAAUGGACGAAAGUCUGAUGGAGCAACGCCGCGUGAGUGAAGAAGGGUUUCGGCUCGUAAAGCUCUGUUGGUAGUGAAGAAAGAUAGAGGUAGUAACUGGCCUUUAUUUGACGGUAAUUACUUAGAAAGUCACGGCUAACUACGCGCCAGCAGCCGCGGUAAUACGUAGGUGGCAAGCGUUGUCCGGAUUUAUUGGGCGUAAAGCGAGUGCAGGCGGGUCAAUCAGUCUGAUGUGAGAGCCUUCGGGUCUACCGGGGAAAU
RNAcentral lists this ribosomal RNA (294 nucleotides) under uncultured bacterium. RNAcentral's name for it is "partial 16S ribosomal RNA". It matches the Rfam family "Bacterial small subunit ribosomal RNA", at positions 336 to 622 of the family's 1533-position model. The record is from RNAcentral.